Molecule: long non-coding RNA, 2334 nt
Organism: Mercenaria mercenaria
Lineage: Eukaryota; Metazoa; Mollusca; Bivalvia; Venerida; Veneridae
Exons: 3
Source: RefSeq, a predicted model, not a curated record
UAAUGAAGGUGAACUGUUGUUUGAGUCACUCUUAAGCAUGUAGUUUAUUGUUUAAAUUUGCUGUUUUUACUGUGUAACAAUCCUCAAUUGAAAUAAAUAUCAAACUUACAGAUAGAUAAUAUUGUUUCAUCAUUUUAUCUUACUCAAGUUACUGAGAAUCUAUUUGUUGACUGGCACUAUUUAUUAUAGGGGCUGUUCUCUCACAGCAUGACCUUGAUACCUGUACAUUGUAUACAAAUACAGUGUACACACACUGCAGAGAUAAAGGGUUAACUCUGGAAUGCUGCGGUGUUAUAAAUAGAACUCUCAACCAAUGAAAAUAAAGAUAUGUAGUGGAGCCAAAACACGCAAAGUAAUCCCAACAGUCCUGUUUUAUUUCAAAGGCCUUUUAAAUAUUUAAAAAUAGACAAUGAAAGAUAUUCUCUUUUUAGUAGAUUAGUAUUUGUUAAAACAUUCUAGUGGAGAUUCCUUCAACAAUAGAUAGCAAAAUAGAAAGCUGCUCAAGAAUAUCAAAAGUUUAAAAGUAAACAGGAACUUCUUUGUUGGAGAUAUUCCUUUACACAUGCAGCUGGAAUUUAAACAGUUUAUGUUGCUAAAAUAACUUUUAAAUGGACACUGGAUAAAGUAUAAGAUGUGUAUAUGCAGUACCUGACAUAUGCCAAAACACACAUGGAUAAAAUGUAUGAGGCAUGAGACAUUUUUAGGCUUCAGUGAUUUACACUUUGUAGAAUGAAUGGUGCUCACAGAGAAACCCUAUUGAUGUGUAAACUUUUUGAUGGUAUACACCUCAUGGACUUGAUGGCAAAUAGUGGAAAACAGUGGCAUUCUCCAAGCUGGUUAGUUGAGAAUGGUGGAGAAAUAUCCAUGGCAAAUAGUGGCAUUUAGAGAAAAACAGUGGCAUAUUUUACACUGAUUGCCACAACAGUUAUGGUGGCAAACAGUGGAAACUUUUAGUGGCAAAUGGUGAAAUACGUUCCAAUACUCCACUGAUAGUGGCAUUCAAUGGAAAACAAUGGCAGUUUUUACAUCAAUAUGUGACAGUGGCAAACAGUGAAAAACUUUAAUGGCAAAUAGUGAAAAAUGUUCCAAUACUCCACUGAUACUGGCAUUUAAUGGAAAAUGGUGGAAAAUUUUGACUGGCCUUUCCAACCUCUAUUUUUUCAAUGUUUUCCCUCAGUUUCCACUCAAAGAGGCUUGUUCCAAUACUCCAGUGUUUUCCAAUGAUUUUUCAGUGGAAAAUGGUGGCAAAUUUACAGAAGGGUUUGAUCUUAUGUUUAAUGGUUUAAUAAUGCAGAAAUAAUGAAUGAAUUGCCGCAGAAACGCUUCAAAACAUUGUUGCCUUAAAAUGACGUCAUGACGUUACGUGUCAGUUACCGCGCAAAAUUAAUAGCUUUUAUUUUGAAAGUAUGUUAUUCUGUGCUUUUUCUUUAUUUGAAUUAUUUUUAAACAGCCAUUAUUUGCUGAAAUACUUUUUAUUAGUCUUUUGCUCUGAAAAAUGAUCAAUAUUUUGCUUCGUUAAAUUUUCACCAAGAGCACAUGCCUCGACCACAAAAUAGCAAACAUUUUUUAAAUAACAAUUAUAUUUCGUCCGUAUCAGUGGUAAUAUUUUUGUGGUCGAGGCCUGUGCUCUUGGUGAAAAUUUAACUUUUCCGUUGCCUAUUUUCACACGAAACGUGCCUGAAUUCAUUCAUAGUUCAAGCGCUACGUAGACAUAUCGCGACAAUUUACGUGAGAAUCUUCUAAAAAUUAAGGGGCUUAGAUCUACUAAUAUGGUCAACUUCAAGAAAUUAUCUAUCAUUGUGUCUAUCCUAAAUGGAAAUAAAAUCUACUUUCAAUCAAGACAUUAAAACGAUAAUUGAUCAACUUGCCACUUCAGAAAAUUAGUACUCAUGGUCAAUUUCUAAACUUAGAACAAUAAAAUUAGGCCUACAGUACUUACAAGUUAUAUGAAUAUGACGCGAUGUAAAUGUUCCUUUAAGCUCCUAGUUUCCUAAUCCAACAGUUACACGUCAAAGUUAAUCACAGUCACAGUGUAGACAUCAAUUUCCACUCAACAGAAUCUGUUGUUUUUUUCGGUGAAUUUCAGGCGAAAUUCGAAACAUACUAAUGAAGUAUGUUUCAUAAGCAUGCAACGGUUAAGCUCUGAAUGCACUUAUUUUAAUCCUUAUUUUCAUAAUUCAUCCUGAAGUAAAGAGAUAACAUUUUCCUUCUCAUACAUACACAUUGUAUACUAUUCCAAGAAGACACCAAGCAUCAUGACGUGUAUACUUGAUGGCGUAGUAUCAUUGCGUAAUAACUGCUGUCUCAUUCGCAUAUUACGCACCAUCAAUACGA